UACGGAGGGUGCAAGCGUUGUUCGGAUUUAUUGGGCGUAAAGCGCGUGUAGGCGGUCUUCUAAGUCUGAUGUGAAAGCCCUGGGCUCAACCCAGGAAGUGCAUUGGAUACUGGAAGACUUGAAUACGGGAGAGGGUAGUGGAAUUCCUAGUGUAGGAGUGAAAUCCGUAGAUAUUAGGAGGAACACCGGUGGCGAAGGCGGCUACCUGGACCGAUAUUGACGC
This 223-nucleotide ribosomal RNA is filed under the name uncultured bacterium. RNAcentral describes it as "partial 16S ribosomal RNA". It matches the Rfam family "Bacterial small subunit ribosomal RNA", at positions 524 to 746 of the family's 1533-position model. The record is from RNAcentral.